RNAcentral lists this long non-coding RNA (529 nucleotides) under Mytilus galloprovincialis (Mediterranean mussel). The record is from RNAcentral. Lineage: Eukaryota; Metazoa; Mollusca; Bivalvia; Mytilida; Mytilidae.
AUAAAAAAAAAAAUGUCACAAAGUUAAUUACAAUGAAGCUAUACUAACAUGAAAAGGAUUAAGGUGGUACCAAACACCUUGCCUAAAAUUAAUAAGUCUAGUCUUGUUUAAUUUUCAUAAAAUUUUGACAAAAAUAUUAACUUUGACCCUUUGACAAAAAUAUAGAUAUUUAAAAAAACUUGAACCACAGACUUUUUUCAAAAAAAAAUCAUUGGAUAUAUAGCAGUUUGACUAGCACUAAUUUAAAUCACUGAGAAGCUUAAUAUUUACUUAACAAUAGGAUGUGAUGAAAAUGUUCAGCUGACUUUAACUGAGUUAUCUCCCUGUAGUAUUAUGUACCACCUUAACUGACCAUUAACUCUCAGCACAAGAUGGCUAUGUUCAAUGCAGUUACACCACUAUCAAUGAAGGACUUAUAAAUCCUAACUGUUAAUUAUUUAAAAAAAAAAAAAUCUCCCAAUGUAACGUUUUAUGUUACUAUAUAUGAUUAAGUAAAUUUGGUUCCUCGGAGAGAAAGCCACAAUUUCCA